This 774-nucleotide ribosomal RNA is filed under the name uncultured Neocallimastigales. RNAcentral describes it as "partial large subunit ribosomal RNA". It matches the Rfam family "Eukaryotic large subunit ribosomal RNA", at positions 24 to 631 of the family's 3401-position model. The record is from RNAcentral. Lineage: Eukaryota; Fungi; Neocallimastigomycota; Neocallimastigomycetes; Neocallimastigales.
UAUGUGAUCGUCUCUCGCAUAUCAAUAAGCGGAGGAAAAGAAACUAACAAGGAUUCCCCUAGUAACGGCGAGUGAAGCGGGAAGAGCUCAAAUUUGAAAUCUUAAAGGGUUUCCCUUUACGAAUUGUAGUUUAAAGAAGUGUUUUCUGUUGAGGUUUUGGUAAAAGUUCUUUGGAAUAGGACAUCAUAGAGGGUGAGAAUCCCGUAUUUGACCUUUACUUUCAACUUUGUGAUACACUUUCAAAGAGUCGGAUUGUUUGGGAAUGCAGUCCAAAAUGGGUGGUAAAUUUCAUCUAAAGCUAAAUAUUGGCGAGAGACCGAUAGCGAACAAGUACCGUGAGGGAAAGAUGAAAAGAACUUUGAAAAGAGAGUUAAACAGUACGUGAAAUUGUCAAAAGGGAAGCGUUUGACACCAGUGUUGUUUUUCUGAAAAUCAAUUAAAGAACUGUUUAUGCUAAGUUGUUUAGACUUUAUCAGCUAUCUGUUUAGUUUUGAGCUUUUCUUUAAUGCACUUUUCAGUCAACAAGUCAACAUCAAUUUCUUUUGCUGUAAAAAAGCUUGAGGAAGGUGGCUUGAGAUUCGUCUUAAGUGUUUAUAGCCUCUUGCCUAUGCAGUCGGAGAGAUUGAGGUCUGCAGCGUAGAUCCUUCGGGGCUAAAUGCAUUUGUGCUAAGUUAUAGCAUUUUAUAGACAACUUGUUGACUAUGAUUUGUCUUGUAGCUUACUCGCUUAUGUUAUGUUACCUACGCUUAGGAUGUUGAUAUGCAUGACUGAUAU